GUUUAGCCCAGAUUGAAUGGCGUGUUUGAGCUCUUUUUGUUUUUACAAAAAAGCGAGUAAUGAAAGUUGGAAAUAGC
Molecule: unclassified non-coding RNA, 77 nt
Filed under: Polaribacter dokdonensis DSW-5
Lineage: Bacteria; Pseudomonadati; Bacteroidota; Flavobacteriia; Flavobacteriales; Flavobacteriaceae
Description: Flavo-1 RNA
Source: RNAcentral